AGAGAGAGAGAGAGAGAGAAUCUGUUGCUUUUGCUUUGGGUUGCUUCCGUUUUACUGGUUUGUAGGUGAAGACGAAACAAAGAAACUACAAGAACAUAUCAAGAAAAAGUGGAGAUGGAGGAGGGACAGUAUCAGAAUGGGUUCUUAGUUGGUGGUGGGUUAGGGGUGAAGGUGAUGACCGAUGGGCAGCUGGAGAUGCUGAGGAAACAGAUCUCUGUUUAUGCUACCAUCUGCGAGAGUCUUGUUCAGAUGCACCAGGCCAUCUCUGAUCCUCAAGAUUUUGCUGGUUUCGUCUCUUUCUCUAUGAAUUGACUGAAUCAUGGGGAAAUCUUUGCUUUUCUUUCAUGAUUAUUGAAUUGAUGAUUAUGUAUUAAUGGGAAUUUCAGGGAAUCCUUACUGUGGUCCAUUUUCACCAUAUGCUUUCCAAAAGAUCCCUUCGAGGCAACGGUGGGCUCCAAAGCCUGCGCAGCUUCAAAUGCUUGAGAGUAUAUUUGAGCAAAGCAGUGCAACUCCAGAGAGGCAGAGUAUCAGAGAGAUUACCAAUCAACUUGCAGUGCAUGGCCCAAUUUCUGAAACAAAUGUCUAUAAUUGGUUCCAGAACAGGAGAGCUCGUUCAAAAAGAAAGCAAGCAGCUCUGCCACCAAUACCAAACCAUCAUGACUCAGCUAAAGACAAAAAGACCAAAUCUGAUGAAACCCAAGUGGAUGAAAAUUUAGCACUCAUGCUCAAUCACAUGUACUUCCAGAGUCCUGAUAUAGGAGGGAUUGACCAGUUAAUUGGCCAAACUGAAGUCCCAAUGAGCUAUUGUUCUUAUUUGCAGGUCGAGCAACAUGAUUUGAGUGGAUGAUGAUUGAUAAAGGUGGUAGGGAAAACAGAUAUAUGACCAAAGAUUGACAUAUACUAAAAGAAUUUCAUAAAUAGAAGAGACAUAUUUAUUAUGUUGGUAGGCAUCUCAGGCCUAGGAUCUAUUGAUUGUGGCAUGUAAGAUCCUUCAUCUUGAUAAUCUAAUUCUAAUUAAACUCUAUUGCUUAGAAGGUUUCUUUUAGUUCAUUAUGAGUUUUAGUAAAUAUUAACUCAGACUGCUUCAUGCUUUGCUUGACUAAUACCAAUCAUUCUGGUUCUGGAGCAUCUCCUCCAUCAGGAUGAUUUUCUUUUUCAGUUUAAUAAUUUACAACUUCAGUCUAUUAGAAACUAUAUUACAUGGAGACCCAUAAUGGAAAUGAAAUGCUGCAAUUUUCCUUGUAAUUCUCCACAUCCAACCCCCAUUCAAGUCUAUGUAUACAGCCAUCAUCCAACAUUCUCUAUUGCCAAA
This 1312-nucleotide unclassified non-coding RNA is filed under the name Hevea brasiliensis (rubber tree). The record is from RNAcentral. Lineage: Eukaryota; Viridiplantae; Streptophyta; Magnoliopsida; Malpighiales; Euphorbiaceae.